AUGUUGAGGCUAAUUCCCCUGCAGCAAGAUAGGCGGCAACAGUGGUGGAUGAGCAGGCACAAGCAGAUCAGCAAAGCGGAUAAGAAGGGCUUUGAUUCUUUCGUGAUGUUGAUUUGCUGGACGUUAUGGAAGCAAAGGAACGCUAGGGUAUUCCAGUUAGGUGUGAUCGCGAUGAGUAUGCUAUGGUUGAUCUUAUUUUUCAUUAUGAAGAAUGGCAAUCAUCCUGUCUCCAAUUCUUGCCCUUCGCUGCUUUUUGCUUCCAAGAAGCUCCUUAUGAUUGUCCAUACAUUUUUUCCAUUCUUUGAUUGUCAUGUCUCCACUUCUUUUAGAAACCCGGUAUGGACAGUUGAGAUUCGUAAGAAGACCUAG
Molecule: ribosomal RNA, 369 nt
Filed under: Triticum aestivum (bread wheat)
Lineage: Eukaryota; Viridiplantae; Streptophyta; Magnoliopsida; Poales; Poaceae
Description: partial small subunit ribosomal RNA
Source: RNAcentral